RNAcentral lists this long non-coding RNA (283 nucleotides) under Nicotiana benthamiana. Its description in RNAcentral is "long non-coding RNA (NBEN_LNC033207)". The record is from RNAcentral. Lineage: Eukaryota; Viridiplantae; Streptophyta; Magnoliopsida; Solanales; Solanaceae.
CUUCUCUCUAUCUAUAUUUCUUGUUCAUGUUUCACUAAGUUGCUUAUAUUUCUUGUUCAUGUUUUACUAAAUUGCUUUCAUUUUAUAACACGUUAUUAGCACGAGUCUCUAACCAUCACGGUAAGUUAUCUUCUUUUAAAGUUCUCGACUCUGAUUUAAAAUUAUCGGGUACACCAUGUUUCUCUUUUUUGUAAGAAUAAUGAUAUGUUUUGUUGGAUACUUAGUUUUUCUCAAUUAUGUUUCUAAACAAAAAUAGAAAGAGAAAGAUACUCAUACUUCACCA